UAAUAGUUUUAAUAUAUUUAAAUCUAUUAUAUUUAUCAAUUAGGUCUUUCAGGAGUGGUUGACUGAGUGCUCUUAUGUUUAAAUAUCUGAUAGUGGCUUUCACAAGCAAAAUAAUGUUUCGGCUGGUUACAGAACUUUUGGGCUACGUUUCCCUUUCCCUAAUACCCAGCAGACACUAUUCCAUUAUCUUCUGGCAUCUAGGGUUACUCUAGAGAAGUCUGGGGCCAGCCUGACUGUUUUUUUCCCUUUGUAGGUGACCUACUUCUGCCUGAGUAUUGCUAGAAUUCUUUCUUUAUCCUUGAAGUUCAGUAACUUCAUCAGGAUAUAACUCGAUCUUGGUGUGAUUCUCUAUUACAUUUUCCUGUUAAAUGAUGUUUUCAGUCCCACUUCUCACUACUGACCUUCCUCGUACGACGGUCACUGAACUGGCGCCUCUCUGGGGUUCUGCCCAGAAGAUUAGCCUUCCUCCUUCGCUGCAGCUCCUCUAACUCAACAAAAAUCCAGUGGAAGGCUUUUCUGCAGGUUUAAUAGAUGACAAUGAUCUCUACCGAUGGGAAGUCCUUAUUAUUGGCCCUCCAGAUACACUUUAUGAAGGUGGUGUUUUUAAGGCUCAUCUCACUUUCCCAAAAGAUUAUCCCCUCCGGCCUCCUAAAAUGAAAUUCAUUACAGAAAUCUGGCACCCAAAUGUUGAUAAAAACGGUGAUGUGUGCAUUUCUAUUCUUCAUGAGCCUGGGGAAGAUAAGUAUGGCUA
RNA transcript from Sapajus apella (tufted capuchin), 751 nucleotides. It is a transcript of the gene named ubiquitin conjugating enzyme E2 G1, with no coding region annotated. Lineage: Eukaryota; Metazoa; Chordata; Mammalia; Primates; Cebidae. The transcript is spliced from 5 exons. The record is from RefSeq and is a predicted model, not a curated record.